GACGAACGCUGGCGGCGUGCCUAACACAUGCAAGUCGAGCGGGGUAGCCGGAAGGUGUAGCGAUACAGCGGAGGGGUACCUAGCGGCGAACGGGUGAGUAACGCGUGGGCAAUCUGCCCCCGGGGGCGGGAUAACAGACCGAAAGGCCUGCUAAUACCGCAUGAAGCCGUCCUAUCGCAUGAUAAGACGGUAAAAGGGGAAACCCGCCUGGGGAGGAGCCCGCGUCCCAUUAGCUAGUUGGUGGUGUAAAGGACCACCAAGGCGAUGAUGGGUAGCCGGCCUGAGAGGGUGAACGGCCACAUUGGGACUGAGACACGGCCCAGACUCCUACGGGGGGCAGCAGUGAGGGAUUUUCGGCAAUGGGCGAAAGCCUGACCGAGCGACGCCGCGUGAGCGAAGAAGGCCUUCGGGUUGUAAAGCUCUGUCUGGAGGGACGAACGAAAUAGACGGUACCUCCGGAGGAAGACCACGGCUAACUACGUGCCAGCAGCCGCGGUAAACCUAGUCUACG
RNAcentral lists this ribosomal RNA (511 nucleotides) under uncultured bacterium. Its description in RNAcentral is "bacterial SSU rRNA". It matches the Rfam family "Bacterial small subunit ribosomal RNA", at positions 28 to 536 of the family's 1533-position model. The record is from RNAcentral.